AACCGGGGGGGGGGAGCCCGUCUGGGGACACCUCCCACCCGUGUUUAUUUUACCUUGUUGCUUCGGCGGGCCCGCCUUAACUGGCCGCCGGGGGGCUUACGCCCCCGGGCCCGCGCCCGCCGAAGACACCCUCGAACUCUGUCUGAAGAUUGUAGUCUGAGUGAAAAUAUAAAUUAUUUAAAACUUUCAACAACGGAUCUCUUGGUUCCGGCAUCGAUGAAGAACGCAGCGAAAUGCGAUACGUAAUGUGAAUUGCAAAUUCAGUGAAUCAUCGAGUCUUUGAACGCACAUUGCGCCCCCUGGUAUUCCGGGGGGCAUGCCUGUCCGAGCGUCAUUGCUGCCCUCAAGCACGGCUUGUGUGUUGGGCCCCGUCCUCCGAUCCCGGGGGACGGGCCCGAAAGGCAGCGGCGGCACCGCGUCCGGUCCUCGAGCGUAUGGGGCUUUGUCACCCGCUCUGUAGGCCCGGCCGGCGCUUGCCGAUCAACCCAAAUUUUUAUCCAGGUUGACCUCGGAUCAGGUAGGGAUACCCGCUGAACUUAAGCAUAUCAAUAAGCGGAGGAAGA
This 563-nucleotide ribosomal RNA is filed under the name Penicillium chrysogenum. Its description in RNAcentral is "eukaryotic LSU rRNA". The stretch from base 182 to 334 matches the Rfam family "5.8S ribosomal RNA". Lineage: Eukaryota; Fungi; Ascomycota; Eurotiomycetes; Eurotiales; Aspergillaceae. The record is from RNAcentral.